AGUAAAGUCAGCUAAUAAAGCUCUUGGGCCCAUACCCCAAAAAUGUUGGUCAAACCCCUCCUUUACUA
Molecule: transfer RNA, 68 nt
Filed under: Podarcis filfolensis (Filfola wall lizard)
Lineage: Eukaryota; Metazoa; Chordata; Lepidosauria; Squamata; Lacertidae
Also listed under: 5 other names
Description: tRNA-Met
Source: RNAcentral